CCUACGGGACGCAGCAGUGGGGGAUAUUGCACAAUGGGGGGAACCCUGAUGCAGCGACGCCGCGUGAAGGAAGAAGUAUCUCGGUAUGUAAACUUCUAUCAGCAGGGAAGAAAAUGACGGUACCUGACUAAGAAGCCCCGGCUAACUACGUGCCAGCAGCCGCGGUAAUACGUAGGGGGCAAGGGUUAUCCGGAAUCACUGGGUGUAAAGGGAGCGUAGACGGCUGAGCA
This 230-nucleotide ribosomal RNA is filed under the name uncultured bacterium. RNAcentral's name for it is "partial 16S ribosomal RNA". It matches the Rfam family "Bacterial small subunit ribosomal RNA", at positions 338 to 585 of the family's 1533-position model. The record is from RNAcentral.